UAGGGAAUCUUCGGCAAUGGGGGCAACCCUGACCGAGCAACGCCGCGUGAGUGAAGAAGGUUUUCGGAUCGUAAAGCUCUGUUGUAAGUCAAGAACGGGUGUGAGAGUGGAAAGUUCACACUGUGACGGUAGCUUACCAGAAAGGGACGGCUAACUACGUGCCAGCAGCCGCGGUAAUACGUAGGUCCCGAGCGUUGUCCGGAUUUAUUGGGCGUAAAGCGAGCGCAGGCGGUUUGAUAAGUCUGAAGUUAAAGGCUGUGGCUCAACCAUAGUUCGCAUUGGAAACUGUCAAACUUGGAUGCAGAAGGGGAGAGUGGAAUUCCAUGUGUAGCGGUGAAAUGCGUAGGUAUAUGGAGGGACACCGGUUGCGAAAGCGGGUCUAUGGUCUGUAACUGACGCUGAGGCUCGAAAGCGUGGGGAGCGAACAGG
This 429-nucleotide ribosomal RNA is filed under the name bacterium. RNAcentral describes it as "partial 16S ribosomal RNA". It matches the Rfam family "Bacterial small subunit ribosomal RNA", at positions 355 to 776 of the family's 1533-position model. The record is from RNAcentral.